Molecule: long non-coding RNA, 6455 nt
Organism: Lagenorhynchus albirostris (white-beaked dolphin)
Lineage: Eukaryota; Metazoa; Chordata; Mammalia; Artiodactyla; Delphinidae
Exons: 4
Source: RefSeq, a predicted model, not a curated record
CAGGGCAAAGCACUGGGACUGGGGGCUUGGGGCCCCCUUCAGCUGGCUCUGAGUCCCGACAGCAGUGCCCUUGGGCGCCAUGGACAGGGAAGGCCUUUCCCCGUCCCUCUGCCAUGCCUGCGUGACUUCAGCGACCAAGAGUUUUUCUCUUGAGUUGGCUGCUGCUCAUCAUCAUCACUUUUCUCUCCACCCAUCCAUUCAAUACACCGUAUGCACCCGCCCCACCUGCGUUUCUCUCCACCCAUCCAUUCAAUACACCGUAUGCACCCACCCCACCUGCGUUUUAAGUCAGUAACAAGCCACGUGCCAGCGAGACUGGGCAGGGAGAAAGUGGGUCACAGGCCAAAUCCUGUUUCCACUCUGAGCCUUUCCGUCCUGCUCCUGAGGCUUGGCACGUGGGCUGUUGUUUGAGGUGUUCUGUUAGGACGGGUGUGAACAAACGCUGGUGGUUGGCUCAGGUUAGGACCUAUGAGAGUUGAGGGCGUCGAGGAACAGUCAGGCCAGGGCUUGGGAAGGGUGAUGGGGACCGGAGUGAGACAGGUGCUGAUGUCUUGGGGAAGCUGUGGGUGCCUGGCUAAUGAGUACGUACCUGCUUGUGUGACCAACUGGCCUAGUUUGCCUGGAAUUGAGAGCUUUCUCAGACAUGGGACUUUUAUUGCCAAAACCAGGAAAGUCCUGGGCAAACUGGAACAAGUUGGCCAACUUAUCUGGGUGUAAAAUACAUGGUGUCAACUUGAGAGGACAGGUUACUGAGUAAAGGUGAGAAUGGUGAACGUGGAGCUGCCAUUGGUGGACUCAGUCUUUUGGAGAUAAUUGGGGUAAAAUCAACAGUUGCACUGAGGACACGUAUGUGAACUUUUUAAUCUCCAUUUUAUAGAUGGAGGCGUCUACAUGAGAAAGUAUGUCCCAAAGGCGUGAUGAAAGGCUCUACUUAAUUGUCCAGUUUCUGCAUUUGGAAUUGAAACCACCUUGGCUAAGCUGAGGCAGGAUUCAGGCUGUCAGGCCUGCCUGCUGGCUUUGACACCCUGAAGGUCUGUGCAGGGGCAGGCAUUCUUCAUGGCUGAAACGUUCUGCCCUGCUAGCCAUUCUUCAUGGCUGAAAUGUUCUGCCCUGCUAGCCAGUUCCUGGUAGAGGCUUCAGGCUUCUGCCUGGUAGAAGCGGGCAGUUCUUUUUCUGUCUCACUCCGAGGACUGUCCUCUGACUUCUGUUUGCCACCUUUAUUCAGCUGGUUGUAGCUGCCUGGAAAGAUGCCAAGAGAAGGAGUCUGGGUCCACUGGAGCUAGCUGUGACUGAGCGUGGUGUUUGCUGCCAUGCAGGAACAGCAGCAGUGGGACACAGGCCAGUCCUGAACAAGUGUUCCUGGGGACACCAGGCGCUGGUCAUCAUGCUAGCCCUGUUCUACCGCAGUGUGUGAAGCACGAGCCAUCCCAGGUCUGUAGGGCCUGAGGAGAUCUGAGGAGAGCAUUCAUCCAGGGUGACCCAGGAACCAGGCUUAAGGUGUCACAUGAGUGUCCCAAGUUCUCCAGCCUUCAGGAGUCACCCUUUCCUUGAACAUACACUGAAUAUCAGCUCCCAGACCUGCAGGAAAUCCAUUCAAGAGCCCAGUACAUGCUGGAUUGCUGUGAGCAUUUAAUGAGAUAAACCAUGAAAAGCACACGUCCAGCACCUACUAAGUGCUCUGUAAAAAGGGUCCCCUCAUGGGAAGAGCUGGGGGGCACUGGACCACCUGCACAAGAAUCCACUGAAGGACUCGAUAAACAUGCAGACACCCCAGUACCCCUGAGAGUGUGGGCCAGGAAUCUACUUGAUUAACCAGCAGCAAUGUGACCAGUUGUCUACUUGUCUACGUUCCUUCCAAGACAUGGCCAGUAGAUGGCGGUGCAGUGUGCACUUUCAAUGCAGCUUCUGCAUUUCUGGAAAGAUCUCCCUGUGAAACUUCCUGUGAAUUCAAGUUAACAUCCACCAGGAGAGCUUGACUGCUUAAGCUGCUCUCCCGUCCUGUCCCUUCAGAGUGACUUCUCUUUUUUUUUUUUUUUUUGCGGUACGCGGGCCUCUCACUGCUGUGGCCUGUCCCGUUGCGGAGCACAGGCUCCGGACGCGCAGGCUCAGCGGCCAUGGCUCACGGGCCCAGCCGCUCCGCGGCAUGUGGGAUCUUCCUGGACCAGGGCACGAACCCGGAUCCCCUGCAUCGGCAGGCGGACUCUCAAGCACUGCGCCACCAGGGAAGCCCUAGAGUGACUUCUCUUGAUGCCCCAGGACCUCAAAGUGGUCAGAACUCACUUGGAGGUUCCUAAACUCCUCGAGGUGAGAGACCUCUCUUUCUGAAGAGGUAGCCAAGCAACUGUAAAAUCUUAAUACCCCAACUAGCAUUUACUGAGAACUUACUGUGUGACUAGCAAGACUCUCACCUUCUCAUUUAACUCUCACAGCUGCCCCUGAGAAGGAGAUUGUUAACCUUCCCACAGUCACACAGCAAGUUCCCAUCACUACCUCCUGUUUCCAUCUUGGCUGGAACUUGUGCUUGAGUCAGAGUUGCAGACGGGGAGCAAUAAUGUCUGUGUCUCAGGCCCAGGCUCUGAGAGCUUGGGGAGCGUCCUGAGAAAGGAGGGGAUGCCCUUCCCUGCCUUGGGGGCCAGGGUGACUGGGCAGGGAGCUGCAAGGGACAGACACUGGGUCAGUCCCCCUGUUAAGGGGGCUUCAACUGUUUAGGGAGGCAGACACGACAUGGGUCACAGCACAUAGAGGGCCAGUGGGCAGGCUGUCUAGAGACUCUGAGAGGCUGGAGGGACUGGGGGGUUUUCAAAGACUGGGGGUGAAACCGCACAACUCAGAUUGGGAUUUGAACCCAUGGGCCGGGACUCGAACCUGGCCAAAACCCAGAUGGGGACUUGAAUCCACUGUCUUUUAAUUAAAAUCACAUAUCUGGUCUCAGGACCUACUGAAGUUCAGGGUCUUUAUGUCUCAGCAAUUCAGUGAGAGACAAAGCAAUAGGUAAAAAGUGGAUUUACUUAGAGGGAUACACAUUCCAUAGAUGGAGUGUGGUGUGCCUCGAAAGGCGAGAGUGGCCCUGGGAGAAUCACCCUCCACGGACAGAGCGUGGGCCAUCUCAGAAGGCGAGAGGCCCCGAAAUAUGGGUGGUUAGUUUUUAUGGGCUGGGUAAUUUCAUAGGCUAAUGAGUGGGAGGAUUAUUCCAACUAUCUUGGGGAAGGGGUGGAGAUUUCCAGGAAUUGGGGCACCGCCCACUUUUUGGCCUUUUAUGGUUAGUCUCAGAACUGUCAUGGCCCUGGUAUCAUUUAGCAUAUGCUAAUGUAUUACAGUGAGCAUAAAAUGAAGCUCAAGUUAUACUGGACGUAGAAUCUUCUGCCAUCUUGGACCUAGUUGGUUCUAACCAGUUUAUGUCACAUCCAAAGGCUAUGUCAUUCUUUUAAAGGUUGUGCCUUGCCCCCUUCCCACCUGUUUCAGGGGAACACUGUGGGACAUUCAGUUUGUGUAAUGCUCAUAAUAGAGCAAAUCAUACUUGUUGAAUUUGUUUCCGCUUAUUUAAUCCUUUUCUAAGAGGACUGAGGGGAUUUUCAAGGGAAGGGAUCCAUGGUAUCGGGGAGGAUGGUGUGAAAUGAGCCUGGAGACGUGGACAGGUAAGAAUGUUCACCUGGAGAUGUGGGAAGGUGGGGAUUUUCUCCAAUGGGUGUGGUCAAGGGAAAUGUCCUAGAAAGCAGAGAAGUUUGACUGGAGAUCUGGAAGGCAUCCUUAUCAAUAUGUACUUCUGUUGAGGUCAAAGCCGCACAUUGUUUAUGCAAGACCUCAACUCCCCUUCUUUGUUGUUAGCAGAACCCUGGAUUAGUUGAAGUGGCCACCUGCCCAGCUAAAGAGCUACAUUUCCCAGCACUGGCAGCUAGUCCUGGCUAAUGAGAUGUGAGCCAACAAAGCUGGGCUGGUGUAUUAGUCUGGAUUCAAUCAGGAGAGAAAAACCACAUGGUAAUUUGAAUAGGAAAAGUGUAAUAUAAAGAAUUAUUGACUAUAGCAGAGGAUUGAAGUAAUGAGGGGUUGCCUAGUAAGAGGUAAAGAGAACUCUGAAGAAUACGGGUGAAGUAGCAGAUAUAAGGAGCAGUCAUGACUCUCAGGGCUGAGAAAGAGCUUUCCCUCCCCUAUGCCCUCCCCCCAGUGCUGAGGUCCAGACUUUGUUGGAUUGGGCACAGCUAUGGUUCACUGAACAGCAGAGAAGUUACUGAGGUCUGCCCUAGUGGAACUUGCCAGAAAACUGCCCUCUGUCAUACAAGGGAAAGCUAUCCUGAUACCACUGAGGUAUCUCAAUGGAAGCACUUGAAUACAAAAUUGCCAAAGGUGGGGGUGCUGGAGGAAGCUACCAGCCUUUCAGUGCUUCUGGCUGCUGUAGACUAGGAACAGGUGCUGGAGCAGCUGCCUGCUCUGUAGGAGGCUGCUGAGUGACCCACCUGAACCAGGAAAGGGUGGGCUCCUGGAAAAGCCCUCUAAAAGGGAUUAGAUUUGGCUAGUUUGUCCCUUUUGCACUUGGAUCUUCCCUUUCUUCCUGCAUCCUGGAUCCAGAAUGAAGAGGACUUGGCACAGAGCUGCAACUGACAUGUCACGUGAGUGAGAAAUAAACCACUGUGGUGGUCAGCCACUAAGAUCUUGGGGUUGUUUGUUCUGCAGCACAACAUGCUGAAACCUGACCAAUACACAUGAAGAAUGUUUAUAUAAUAAUUGCCAGUUACAGUAAAUAGAAAUUUCCUGUUUUGUAAAAUACUAUGAGGAGGUGAGAAUUAUGGUUAAAGAAAGAGCCAAUAAGUUCUAAAGCAAAGAAAAAGAGUCAUAAAAAUACUUCCUGGACAUUAGAAACACUGAUGCUUUCAAAUUUAUUACAGGAGCAGGAGAAGAAAGAAAAAAGAACAAAAUGGGAAGGAGAAAGAGAAAGGUAAAAUAGUAAAGAAAAAGCAAAAAUAAUUUGAGAAUACUGUGUUUAUAGACAGCUCAACUGACUCCUUGGUAUUGCUCAGAAAAAUAAGAGGAAUAUUAUUAAACCAGAGCAGCCUGAUUUCUGCUUAUGUAGAAGCCACUUCGAAUUGCCUGUGGGAGACACAAUAGGGAGAAUCUCUCUGUCCUCAAGACAUAUGAUUGAAGCCAUUGUGCUCUCUCUCAAAGACAUCUUAACAUGCCUUGUCUGUCCUCAUCAGCAAGCACAUGGGCUUCCCGCUGAACUCUAGUUUCAGAAUGACCUUUGAGGUGUCCCCAAGGAUCCAUAAAGUUAAUAGCUUUUAUUCUGAGUCAGACACCAGCACACAGUCUCUCAAUUUAGUGAGGAUCCAGCUAUUGGCUUUCAUAGAACGUGGCAAGAGACAGAAGCAAUUGGCUUUGAUGGGUAUGAGGAGGAAAAGGUGGCAGAGUGAAAGCCCCGCUGACCCUCUCCAGCACCUUUCAGGUGAACAACAGCAGCAGCAGAGACAAAUUGAUGGAGCAAGUAACAGAAGCACGUGUCAUCUGAAAUGAAUGUGGCAGAGUUGAGCAAAUUGGCAAGAGUACCUUCCAGACGCACAGAGAUAUCUCUAAUACAUUUAAGGAAGACAUGGAGAGUCCCUGCCUAUCUCCUGGAUAUUAAGUAGGUACAGAUUUCCUAAAAGUAAGUAAGAGGGUCUGGAAGGGUCUGGCCAAUAUCUUUACUUGGAAAGAUGAGAACUCAGAGCAAAAGAGGACUCAAGAGUGUUAGGGAAGGUCACACCUUGCGACUGUCUUCAAGCCCCGGGUUGAUGGGAACCAGGGCUGUAAGGAUGACCCUGUAACUUUACCACCCUUGUAAUUCUCCGAGCUGGGCUCCUAUAUCAAGCCAACAAGCUAAGGGCAAGGUGAGGAGAGAAAGGUGAGAAUCACACUCUGAUAUCACCCUUGUACAAUGCCAGCUGAACAGAGAUGAAUCAGCUCAACCACACUGGCUAAAGGGCUUUACCAAGAGCCACAGGUCACAAAGGGAUACAGAAGAUCCGAAUCAAAUAAUGAAUCAGGUUGAUAUUAGUGAUAAUACGGCAUCGUGCAAAUAAAUGGAUAUGUAAACAGCGAAUAUGUCUCCCAUUGAAACACCCAUGAGAAUAGUUACAAAACUUGACCAUGGCUAUAAAGAAAAUAUCAGUAAUUUUCCCCCAAGUAGACAUAGUAGAGACUUCUUUGACCACCAAGUAAUAAAACCAGAAAUUAAAAAGUAGAAAUGAGACAAAAACCCAACCAUAUGGAAAAAUUAAACCCCCUCCUCAGGACUUCCCUGGUGGUGCAGUGGUUAAGACUCUGCACUCCCAAUGCAGGGGGUCUGGGUUCGAUCCCUGGUCAGGGAAGUAGAUCCCACAUGCGUGCGGCAGCUAAGGGUUUGCAUGCCACAACGAAGGAGCCAGGGACCUGCAACUAAGGGGCCCGCAUGCCGCAACUAAGAGCCAGUGCAACCAAAUAAAUAAAUA